RNAcentral lists this long non-coding RNA (2357 nucleotides) under Homo sapiens (human). RNAcentral's name for it is "PREDICTED lncRNA (TCONS_00219649)". Lineage: Eukaryota; Metazoa; Chordata; Mammalia; Primates; Hominidae. The record is from RNAcentral.
UUUUUUUUCCCCCCGCUUUGGUGAACUCGCAGUACUUGGGCUGAGCCCGAAAUCUCGCGAGAUGCUGCAGGCGUCAGUGCGGCUUCCCACUAGGCGCGUGGUACCCGAGGCCGGGCCGGAGCCGCAGGCCAGCCGCGAUUCCUUCGGGCGAUGCUGGGGGCUUUCCGGUCGGGGCCGCAGCCGCUUCCGGAGCCGCGGGCGAGGUGCGUUCCCCAGCCUGGUUUGCUCUGGGCUCUGACCCGCCGCCGCGAAUCUCCGCUCGUAACUCCGGGCCUGAACCUGGAGGAGGGAGGAUUUCCUCUGUGCAGCUUUCGAGCGGUAGACUCACCCUGCCAGGCAGACCUAGAUUGGCAUAACCAGAGAUCAGUUCCAGUUGUGAUGCAGUGGGUGUCUACACACUUCUGAUGACACCUUUAUUUUAAAAGCUGAUGUUCCAAGGUGCAAGCGGUCUUCUCUGUCUUCUUUAUGGCCAGUAAAAUUCUCCAGAAGAGAUUUAUGGCAGCCUCACUCCCAGUAGUUUCUGCAUUUAGUGAGAUAAGGAAUGGAUUUUCUUCUGUGUAUUGCUGACACGAACAGGAGACGGAAAUACUGAGUAGAAGAGGGCGGUUCCCUGGCUAAGGCCCCACCCUCAAGCCUGGAUACCCGCGGCCCUAAAUGAGAAGAGGCGUUUCUGUUUGGGGCCCAAAAAGUUGCUUUUUGACCCACCACGCCCCCUAUCCUGCCCCCAUAUAAACCCCAAACCCCAACCUCCAGAGCAUACCAGCAGGUGAGGAGAUACGAGGCAAGCCGACUGACGGCAAAACGACGUAGCAGAGAAAGAGAGAAGAGGAGGGACGUCUGGACACCGAGAGAUGUUUGGCUCGGGGCAGUCAGAGCGGAGUCCAGCCCCUGGGCGGCCCAACUCCAGGGGAAGAUCACCUUCCCACUUCAUCCAUCCCCACCCUUCCAGCUCCCCAUCCAUCCUGCUGAAAGCCAUUUCCACCACUCAAUAAAACCUCGCAUUCAUCCUUCAAGUCCGUGUGUGACCCGAUUUUUCCUGGAUUCUGGAAAAGAGCUCGGAAUACAGAAAGCUGUCCCCUGGUCCUUUGCCCUUGUGAAAAAGCAGAAGGUCCAUUGAGCUGGUUAACACUCCAGCUGUCUGUGGUGGCCAAGCUGAAAGAGCUUUGUAACACUGGGGUUGCAGGCACCCACCUCUAGACGCUACCGCAGAGCCAGAGCCCAAAGCCCUCACCCCGGCCUCUGCACUUGCCCAUCUGCGUGCUCCCCCUCUCGCAAGGGGUUUCUGCAGAGGGGGCUACUGAACAGAUGGAAUCUUGCUCUCUUGCUCAGACUGGAGUGCAGUGGCAUGACCUUGGCUCACUGCAACCUCACCUCUCGGGUUCAAGCGAUUCUGCCUCAGCCUCUCGAGUAGCUGGGACUACAGGUGGGAGACCUCCACAGAACCCUUCCAGCAAGCUGUCUUCUAAAGCAAACAAGAAAAGGAAAGUCUGAGCAGUUUUGAUUAGAUUUCCCAGAAGUCAAAGCAAGGAAAAAUGAAAAAGCUUCAUUUCUCACGUUCUUAAAAGAGAGCACAGAUGUUGCAUCAUCUGGUUAGAUACCCUGAGAAUAAAAUCUGGAUCCAGUGAGAGGAAAGAUUCUGGGUGCUCAUGAAAAAAGAAACAAAACAAAACUUGGGAGCCUCUUGAGAGUGUACAGCAUCAGCCCUUGCCAACUCUUGUUUAUAUGCAUUUAACUUUCAGUUAACCAUGGGAAUAAUUCAUGAAAAUCCAAUCUACAAACAAAGGCCAUCCUAACGUUCAUGUUAUUCUUUUCCCUAAGAAUCUUUCACAAGAGCUAUAAUCAAGUAGAAUUAUGCUUUGAUUUGAAUUCUAAUUCAAUUGAAAAUAAAAAAUGAGGGCCGGACGCGGUGGCUCAUGCCUGUAAUCCCAGCGCUUUGGGAGGCUGAGGUGGACGGAUCACGAGGUCAGGAGAUCGAGACCAUCCUGGCUAACACGGUGAAACCCGAUCCCUACUAAAAAUACAAAAAAUUAGCCGGGCGUGGUGGCAGGCGCCUGUAGUCCCAGCUACUCGGGAGGCUGAGGCAGGAGAAUGGCGUGAACCCAGGAGGCAGAGGUUGCAGUGAGCCGAGAUCAUGCUACUGCACUCCAGCCUGGGCGACAGAGCGAGACUCUGUGUAUAAAUAAAUAAAUAAAUAAAUAAAUAACGAAAAGGUUGCCAUUGCCCUUUCUGGGGAAAGUGAUAAUGAGGAAAGACUAGUUUCUUAACCCAAGUCAGCUUUAGAGUCGGCAAGGAUGCAAUUUGAGGUGAUCCAGGAAAACUCUAUUAGCAUGGUAUUUCCCAUACAGAUUCAUUUCUUU